This 443-nucleotide ribosomal RNA is filed under the name uncultured bacterium. RNAcentral describes it as "partial 16S ribosomal RNA". It matches the Rfam family "Bacterial small subunit ribosomal RNA", at positions 338 to 795 of the family's 1533-position model. The record is from RNAcentral.
CCUACGGGAGACUGCAGUGGGGAAUAUUGGGCAAUGGAGGAAACUCUGACCCAGCAACGCCGCGUGAAUGAUGAAGGUCUUCGGAUUGUAAAGUUCUUUUCUAAGGGAAGAAGAAAGUGACGGUACCUUAGGAAUAAGCCUCGGCUAACUACGUGCCAGCAGCCGCGGUAAUACGUAGGAGGCGAGCGUUAUCCGGAAUGACUGGGCGUAAAGGGUGCGUAGGUGGUUUGGCAAGUUAGUAGCGUAACUCCAAGGCUCAACCUUGGAACUACUACUAAAACUGUUGGACUUGAGUGCAGGAGGGGCAACCGGAAUUCCUAGUGUAGCGGUGGAAUGCGUAGAUAUUAGGAGGAACACCAGUGGCGAAGGCAGCAUACCGGCGCGCAACUGACGCUCAUGCACGAAAGCGUGGGUAUCGAACAGGAUUAGAUACCCGAGUAGUC